AUUGAACGCUGGCGGCAGGCCUAACACAUGCAAGUCGAGCGGAUGAAGGGAGCUUGCUCCUGGAUUCAGCGGCGGACGGGUGGGUAAUGCCUAGGAAUCUGCCUGGUAGUGGGGGAUAACGUCCUGAAACGGGCGCUAAUACCGCAUACGUCCUGAGGGAGAAAGUGGGGGAUCUUCGGACCUCACGCUAUCAGAUGAGCCUAGGUGGGAUUAGCUAGUUGGUGGGGUAAAGGCCUACCAAGGCGACGAUCCGUAACUGGUCUGAGAGGAUGAUCAGUCACACUGGAACUGAGACACGGUCCAGACUCCUACGGGAGGCAGCAGUGGGGAAUAUUGGACAAUGGGCGAAAGCCUGAUCCAGCCAUGCCGCGGGUGUGAAGAAGGUCUUCGGAUUGUAAAGCACUGUAGGUUGGGAGGAAGGGCAGUAAGUUAAUACCGUGCUGUUUUGACGGUACCAACAGAAUAAGCACCGGCUAACUUCGUG
This 484-nucleotide ribosomal RNA is filed under the name uncultured bacterium. Its description in RNAcentral is "partial 16S ribosomal RNA". It matches the Rfam family "Bacterial small subunit ribosomal RNA", at positions 30 to 507 of the family's 1533-position model. The record is from RNAcentral.